CCCAGCCAUGACCUCUUAUACACGCGUCGCAGCGCCGUCCAGCUACAGACGCCGUGCUCUCCGCGGCCCGUACACAUCGCUACGCCGCCAACCACACUCACGCAGAGAUGCUGCUGGUGGCGCUGUUGCUGUCGCUGCCCGCCGGCCCCGCCUCCUCCACUUCUUCGCCGCCGCCCCUGCCACCCACACCGCUGGUGGAGCUGGCGGGGUGCGGCGCUGCACGCGGCCUGCUCAUGACGUCACGAGGCGGCCGGCCCUUCGCGGCCUUCCUGGGGCUCCCGUACGCCAAGCCGCCCAUCGGCCCACUGCGAUUCAAGGCGCCCGUCCCAGCAGAGCCAUGGCAGGGUGAGCGCGAUGCGACGGUGGAGGCACCUAUGUGCACGCAGAAGAACUACUUCCUAGAGCAGCCCGUUGUGGUGGGGCAGGAAGACUGCCUCUACCUCAACGUCUACACGCCGCGACUCCCAAGCUCAGAGCGAGAGCAGGUGCAGCCGCUGCUGCCCGUGCUGGUGUACAUCCACGGCGGCGGCUGGUUCUCGGGCUCCUCCAGCCCACAGCUGGUGGGGCCGCAGCUGCUCAUGGACCGCGACAUCGUAGUCGUCACUCUCAACUACCGCCUGGGGCCGCUCGGCUUCCUGAGCACGGGCGACGCCGCGGCGCCGGGCAACUACGCACUCAAGGACCAGGUGCUGGCGCUGCGCUGGCUGCGCCGCCACGCGCCGGCCUUCGGCGGCGACCCGCGGGCCGUCACCGUCAGCGGGCAGAGCGCGGGCGCCGCCUCGGCGCACCUGCUGCUGCUGUCGCCCGUCUCCGCAGGCCUGUUCCAGCGGGUGAUCGCACAGAGUGGCAGCGCGCUGGACGCGUGGGCCCUGCCGGAGAGGGAGCCGGGGCGGCAGGCACGGCGGCACGCCGCUCUCGUCAACUGCAGCCGCGGCUCCUCCACAGAGCUGGUCGCCUGCCUCAGGGGCGUCGACCACCGCCUGCUGGUUGACACUACGGACAGCCUCAAGUUCUGGUCUGUGGAUCCCUUAACUUUCUAUCGCCCAGUCAUUGAUCCACCCAACAUCCCUAUGGAUGAAGUUUUUCUUCCAAAGGAUCCUAUAGAGAUUUUACGGCAUGCUAUUGAGGAUUAUGCUGAGGGCCGUCCUCCCCAUCAUUUCACAACCAUUCCAUUAAUGAUGGGAGUCGUCCGUGAUGAGGGAAUUUUGCGAGCUGUUCCUAUUCUAAAUAGUGCACAGCUCCUAGAAGACUUGAACACACGUAUUGAUGAACUGAUGCCUCAGCUUCUUGAACUCAACAGGAGCAUACCUCUAGAAAUAACUAACAGGGAGGAACAACUAAAUGAUGUCUACCGCUCUAUAAGUUCUCAAUUCUUUCCCAGUCAGCCACUUAGUCUAAAUGAUUCUACAAGAUUUAUAGAUCUCUACAGUGAUCGUGGUUUCUUCCAUGGACUGGAGAGAACUGCAGUAUACCACAGGCUAGCAGGACAUAUACAUCUGUUCAUCUAUAGCUUUGAGUAUCAAGGUUCACAGAGCUACACACCAAUCUUUGCAAAAACCAAUAUAAGAUAUGGAAUAUGCCAUUGCGAUGAUCUACUGUACCUGUUUUCUACUCAAGCAUUGUUUCCAUCUCUGUCAAAUGACAGCUUUGAUUGGAAUGUUGUCAAUGCAAUGACACAUUUAUGGACACAGUUUGCAGCUUUUGGGCACCCAGCACCACUGCAGCCUAGUGUCCUCCACAGCUUGCAGUCCCCACAUCAGUAUGAGAUUUGCUGGCAAGAUGUUGCUGAUAUUGUAUGGCCCCAAGCUGGACUUGGAGGAGACUGUGCUUCAGGAGGCUCCGCUGAUGUACCAUUCCUACAAAUUUCUGGAAAUGGAAUAUAUGCCGAGAGUCAACAUUUGCAGUUCUGUUCUCGUCAGACUUUUGGACAUGGUCGUUUGGCUUUUUGGAAUUCUCUACCACUGGUAGAGAACAGUAUCAGCAAGCCUGAUUACAAGGAAUUAGCACCCCAUUUGGUUCUCCUGUUGUCUACAGACAAUAUCCUGCCAGGCUACUGGUUCUGAAGAGAUGUUGCUGCCAAAGUGAACAUGACUGUAGGCCUGAAUUGAGGAAAACCCGGACUUUGAUGUUGCAUCAUGACAGUGCACCUGCAUCAUGUUCCUGUUGUGCCCCAUUCACUAUAUUCUCUGGAUCUGGUCUCAGCAGACUUUUUCCUGUUUGCAAGACUUGAGACUAUGAUGAAAAGACAACAUCGCCAAACCUAGAGGACAAUCCAGACAUUGUGAUAAGAGACCUGUGCACCAUCCAAAAGACACAUUCCAGGAGGCUCUCCAAAAGUGGAAGAAAUGAUUGCCAGUAGACAGGGCCAUUUUGAGGGAAACAGCACUUCAGAUGUUUUACAAUAAGCAAUAAAGGUGUUAUAUCAGAAGAUUAUUUUCUUUGUGAAAACACCUUGUACGCUAAAACAUCUUUUGACACAAAUAUAUAAUUUUUACAUUUUACAAAUUGUUCUUAUUAGAGUUUGUAUUUUCAGUAGAUACUUUAGACAAGAAACAGUCUUACAAUCUUUUGCAAAAAUGUACAACAAUAUACUUUUCAAACUUUUGACUCACAGUUUGUUCUUCAAACACUUCACUAACACACUUUAUUGUAGCUCAGCCUGCUCCUUGUUAUAGUCAGUGGUCACACAUGUAAAGAACAGACAAAAUAUUCUAUUGUAAUAUGCCAUUAAGUCUUGUGUCUAUACCUGUAACAAAAUGAUUUUUCAUUAAAUACAACAUCACCAUA
This 2787-nucleotide unclassified non-coding RNA is filed under the name Schistocerca americana (American grasshopper). Its description in RNAcentral is "juvenile hormone esterase-like, transcript variant X5". Lineage: Eukaryota; Metazoa; Arthropoda; Insecta; Orthoptera; Acrididae. The record is from RNAcentral.